This 436-nucleotide unclassified non-coding RNA is filed under the name fungal sp. Its description in RNAcentral is "partial internal transcribed spacer region". The stretch from base 1 to 46 matches the Rfam family "Eukaryotic small subunit ribosomal RNA", at positions 1786 to 1831 of the family's 1831-position model. Lineage: Eukaryota; Fungi. The record is from RNAcentral.
AAGUCGUAACAAGGUUUCCGUAGGUGAACCUGCGGAAGGAUCAUUAACACGUAUCCACGUAUCAACCCCAUGUGCUUUUUGUUUUACAACAUACCAACCUGUCUGAGACGGUUCGGGGGAAAUAACCUCAUGCUAAUCUGAAACUUGGAACGAAGGAAACUUGAGUGGUUUUUGACUGAAGAGAUUCACUUCAAUUUGGUCAAAGGGUUUCUUUCUGAGUAAGGUUUCAGAGUGAGAUUUUUUCCUUGAGCUGUUUCGUCGUUACAGGAUGUUUAUCAUACCUACCACUUCGGUGUGAUGCUUUAACUUAUUAACCCCUUUCGUAACUGAAUGUCUAAUUCAAACUUUGAUUUAUUGAGAGUGUCUUCAUUGACGCUUUCUCUGAUCAAUAGUACGAAAUGCUUGACAACUCUUAGCAACGGAUAUCUUGGUUCUC